Long non-coding RNA from Haplochromis burtoni (Burton's mouthbrooder), 480 nucleotides. RefSeq lists it as uncharacterized. The record is from RefSeq and is a predicted model, not a curated record. The transcript has 3 exons. Lineage: Eukaryota; Metazoa; Chordata; Actinopteri; Cichliformes; Cichlidae.
AUUAGCUAUUUAAAGUGCUGCGACUGCGCGCCACUGAAACCUCUCCACGGUGCCAAUAAGGACGCGGAUCUCAGGACGUGCAGGACGAGGCAGCGCAGCAAGGACACAGAGUGAAGCACAUUUUAAUGAGGGGACGCAGAUAAAGAGUGAAUAGACGCGUAGACAGCGAGACGAAAAUCAGCAGUAUCCAGUAUUUCAUCGGGCAUCUCUAUCAUGGGUGUGAAGAUGUUACAGUGCUUUCCCUUCUACAGACGCUGCAAAGAGCGCUGCAAGAGCAGGCAGUGCCCGCCCCCUCCAGUGCCUGUGGAGGAGAUGAAGCCACGUCUGUCCUCUACGACAUCCUGGGGGAGUGACAGCGAAGGAACAGGAAGCAUCAAUCGGGGUUCCCAGAUCUAUUUCUCCACCAAGGCCCGGCUUUCUUUCAGACACCAGCUGGACAGCAACAUCAAUGCAGUGGAUGCCACCUACUGAGGAAGACCC